ACGCUUCUUCCAGCUGUGGAGGCACUAACAAUGGACGCUCAGAAAGAUGUUCAACCACCAAAGCAGCAGCCAAUGAUAUAUAUUUGUGGAGAGUGUCACACCGAAAAUGAGAUAAAGUCCAGGGAUCCCAUCAGAUGCAGAGAAUGUGGAUACAGAAUAAUGUACAAGAAAAGGACUAAAAGAUUGGUGGUUUUUGAUGCUCGAUGAAAUGUGGGAGUUCAGAAGUAUCUUCAUUCAUACAUUUGCCUCAUUGAUGUUUCUCUUUAAUGUAUAGCAUUUGGCUUAGUUUACUUAAUGAAAACAACUGUAUGCCUAUGAUUUCAUUUAGAAAUACAAUUGUAUUUUAAUACUUUGUAUAAAGGAAAUUUUGGUUCAAUAUAUGGCUUAAUUUAUUGCUUUUGUAAUCCGUCACACAGUGAAGAUUAAAAGUGUUUCCUC
This 438-nucleotide long non-coding RNA is filed under the name Mus musculus (house mouse). RNAcentral's name for it is "long non-coding RNA chrX:38969786-38970224". Lineage: Eukaryota; Metazoa; Chordata; Mammalia; Rodentia; Muridae. The record is from RNAcentral.